GGAUGCGAGAGUGAUCUGGCUGUGAUACAUCUGUCAUGCCAUUGGUGAUAGUUAAGGUAGAUUUGGUUGAAUCUGACUGGCUAGGACAUUGUCCCCUCCCCCACCACCAUGCAGUGUGUUCCCCCCAAAAUCUGCAGACUUGGUGGAAGAGUACGAUUUUUCCUGAAAGGGGACAGUUUUUUGGUCCAGGGUAUAUGAGUAGCUGUGCUCCCUGGUAGAACCUCCAAAAAAUUCUCAAACGUGUAAGUUCUUAGUGAGCUCAAUUUGAGGUUUAGUCAAGUAAUUUAUAGGUCUGAAAAGCAAGAGAUUGGGUGUGGCUGCUUU
This 324-nucleotide small nuclear RNA is filed under the name Castor canadensis (American beaver). RNAcentral's name for it is "7SK RNA (ENSCCNG00000007330.1)". The stretch from base 1 to 286 matches the Rfam family "7SK RNA". From Rfam's summary of the family: 7SK was discovered as an abundant small nuclear RNA in the mid-70s but a possible function has only recently been suggested. The record is from RNAcentral. Lineage: Eukaryota; Metazoa; Chordata; Mammalia; Rodentia; Castoridae.